Molecule: non-coding RNA, 592 nt
Organism: Notolabrus celidotus (New Zealand spotty)
Lineage: Eukaryota; Metazoa; Chordata; Actinopteri; Labriformes; Labridae
Source: the annotation of a RefSeq genome assembly
AUGACCUCACUAAGUCAGAGAGCCGUGUCUCUACAGUCACAGGUUUUUGUACGGCGGCUCAAUGACUUUGUAUCACUGUGGUACACGUUCGGUGGAGGAACCAGACUGGAUCUUGGAUGUGAUACACGUCCCACCCUGACGGUGCUGCCCCCGUCCUUUGAAAUGCUGCAAAAUGGGACGGCCACGCUCAUGUGCCUGGCCAACAAGGGCUUCCCCUCAGGCUGGAGUCUGGCCUGGAAGGUGGGCGACGGCAGCAACAUCAGCAGCAGCUGGGAGGAGAGCAAGAGCCCUGCUGUGCUGGAGAAGGACGGCCACUACAGCUGGAGCAGCACCCUGAGCCUCCCUGCAGACCAGUGGAGGAAGCUGGGCUCUGUGACCUGUGAGGCCACCCAGGGCUCCCAGACUCUGGUCUCAGAGACACUGAGGAGAGACCAGUGUUCCCAGUCCUGACUCACUGGGACUCUGCUCCUGCUUUAACUCUGAUCCUGGUCUCUAUCUGCUCUCUGCUGCUGUCUCUCUCUCUUUAUUUCACAGCUUUCAGCACAAACAUUUACCAGCUUGUUGUUUUCUUUGAGUUUCAUUAACAGACAAU